This 480-nucleotide ribosomal RNA is filed under the name uncultured bacterium. Its description in RNAcentral is "bacterial SSU rRNA". It matches the Rfam family "Bacterial small subunit ribosomal RNA", at positions 8 to 526 of the family's 1533-position model. The record is from RNAcentral.
AGAGUUUGAUCAUGGCUCAGAUUGAACGCUGGCGGUAUGGCUAAAACAUGCAAGUCGAACGAGAACCCCGCAAGGGGUAAAAGUGGCGGAAGGGUUAGUAAUACGAUUGAAUGUACCCCGAGGUGGGGGAUAGGCACGGGAAACUGUGCGUAAUACCCCAUGAGCUCGAGAGAGGAAAGCCGCAAGGCGCCUUGGGAGCAGCGAUCGUCCUAUCAGCUAGUUGGCGGGGUAAAGGCCCACCAAGGCGAAGACGGGUAGCCGGUGUGAGAGCACGGCCGGCAACAUCGGGACUGAGACACUGCCCGGACUCCUACGGGAGGCUGCAGUAACGAAUAUUCCGCAAUGGGCGAAAGCCUGACGGAGCAAUACCGCGUGCAGGAUGAAGCGGCUUCGCCGUGUAAACUGCUGUCAGAGGGCAGAAAUACUGAUCGCCCUCAGAGGAAGAGACGGCUAACUCUGUGCCAGCAGCCGCGGUAAUAC